AAACCUGUUCCGGUUCCUUUCCACAUUGUGGAAACUUUGUUCUUUAGGUCUUUGCAAUAAAUCUUGCUGCUGCUCACUCUUUGGGGCUGCACUACCGUUAUAAGCUGUAACACUCCCUGCAAAGGUCUGCAGCUUCACUCCUGAGGCCAGCAAGACCAUGAACCCACAGGGAGGAAUAAACAACUCUGCAAGGGAGGAACGAACAACUCCAGCUGCACCGCCUUAAGAAUUGUAACACUCACCGCGAGGGUCUGCAGCUGCUUUCUUGAAGUCGGUGUAUGUAGAAAAGGAAGGACAAUAUCUCAGGAAGGUCAGAGGCUGUAAAACUUGAAGAAAGGAGCCAAGAUCGCCAGAAAUACAGUGGUGGUAUUAUAGCAAACAUGAGAUCCUAAGUCCUUUUUCAAAGCGUGCCUGCUCCCUGCAAGAGGAGGAACAGUGGCCAACCCACUCAAUCAGCUGUUGCCAUGUGGGACCUGUGAAACCUAGCUACCAUGCAAAAAGUCUGACUGACUCGAGAUUACCAUAUUGUGAGGAAGUCCAAGCUAACCACAGGGAGGGGAACUGAGAAACCUAAACAACAGUGAAAACUGAAGUCCGAGAUAGAUGGCCCAAGCUGAGCCAUCAUGGGUGACACUACCAGGGGCCAAGACAGGUUCUCUCUAACAAGCCUGUCCAAGUCACAAAGCGAGGCCACCUUGGUAGGAGAAAGUAAGAAGAUAUGACCAGUUAUCUCCUCCAUCAGACAAAGGCACUAUUGAUUGUUCAGGAAAUUAAGUGGCCCCCUUUGCACCACAGUGCAAAAAAUGUACUCUUCUUUGGUGAAUCUUUAUUAUGUUGAUUGUUAAAGUGAUAUCUGUACAUAUUAAAUGUGUUAUGGCCUUAAGUGUUACAAUCCUUGCUCUGUGUAUAUUUACAUUUAUAUGUGUAUCAAUAUUCUCAAGCAGGAACACAGCACUGCCCUUCCAGCUCCCUCCCCCAGCUAGAGGACAUCUGGCAAUUUGACAUUUUGGUUGUCACAAUCUAGGGGACAGGGCUACUACUAGCAUCUACAGGGUAGAGCCAGUGGUACUGCUAAAUAUCUUAUAAUCCAUAGUACUGCUCCUGCAAUGAAGAAUUAUCUGGCUUAUGAUGUCAAUAAAAAUAAUAAUUUUCAUCAGAAAAGAGUUGUAUCAUUUUCAAAACACUUUCACAUGCAUUAUUUUAUUGAUGCUCAUAAAGUCAUUGUGAGGUAAUAAGCUUUCUAAUUUAUGGAUGAGGAAAUUGAGGUUUAAAAGGGAAAAGUGACUUUACCAAUGUCAUAUUACUAGAAAAGUGAAGGUGUUAGAGCACGAAAAUUAAUCUUCAGCCCUCUCUUACUUUCCAUACUUUUUCCUGGCAAUGUCCUGUGGGCAAAGAUAAAUGUGCCAGUCUCCUUCACUUCAAGCCCAGCAUGGUACUUUCCACUUGCUAGAGCUUCAAAAAUGUGUUUGUUGAUUGACUAAUUAUAAAUGACAUCAAGGACAGUCAACUGUAUUAUUCCCCCCUAGUUUUUAAAUAAGAAAUGUCAACUGAUAUGGUUUGACUCUGUCCCCACUCAGAUCUCAUCUUGAGUUGUAGCUCCCACAAUUCCCACAUGUGGCUGGUGAUAGCUGGUGGGAGGUAAUUGAAUCAUGGGGGCAGGCCUUUCCCAUGCUGCUCUCGUGAUAGCGAAUAAGUCCAUGAGCUCUGAUGGUUUUAUCAAGGGGAAACCCCUUUCACUUGGCUCCUACUCUCUCUUGUCUGCCACCACGUAAGACAUGCCUUUGCUUCCCCUUUGCCUUCAGCCAUGAUUGUGAGGCCUGCCCAGCCAUGUGAAACUGUGAGUCAAUUUAACCUCUUCCAUUUAGAAAUUACGCAGUCUCAGGUAAGUCUUUAGUAGCAAUGUGAGAACAGACUAAUAUAACAACUCAGAUCCCUAGGAAAGAUUUCUGUGUAAUUCAACAUACAUUUCCUGUUUUACAUGAAUAGAUGGCUGUAGCAUGUCUGGUUGUUUUUUUUUUUGUUUGUUUGUUGUUUUGUUUUUUUUUUUUUUAAUUUUGCUCUGGUGUAAAUCUUAGAGUAGUUCAAAAUGUAAAACCCCAAAACUUUUAGCUAGCAACAGGAUGUAGCCAUUCCGUGGCUUCCUUUUAACUGAAUAUGCACAGGCAGAGGAGCCAAGAGAAGGAACCAGCUUUUCUGAGUGACAGCAUAUUUCAAAGACAGGUAAAGGACAAACUGGAACAGAACUGGGGGUAAUACAUUGAAAACAAAACAAAACACAACAAGAAACAGUAACACGCAUGGAUCUCUGCCCAGAUUCCCACCCAAAAACUAAUUUAUUAAGCUGAUAUAAUAACACUGUGCAACAAUAGCCAGGCUAGCUUAGCUUUAUAUUUAGCUCAAGAAGCAAUUAAAGACAAAAAGAAAAAGAACACUCAUACUGUACAUGAUGAACAAAUCACAAGAUGUUCAACACAUUUGUUUAGCAGACAGUAGAAACAAUCCACCUGCAAUUUUUGAAAUGUUCUCCAAACUUGGGUUAAAAUUUUGUAAAACUGAAGCAAGCAGCUAACUUGGUCAAUUCAGUUAAGGGGGGAAGAAAACCCAUAGUUAUUUGGCAAUAUGUCAAAAUACGUUCUGACAGAGAAAAAAACUCCACAUUCAAACUGAUGAUUUGGCUGAAAUUUUCACUUUUUAAUUGGCGCUUCUGUUCUGAUCUGAGGCAGGCUAUUUUUUUAUUUUUAGCAUUCUUUACCUUCUUCCAUGCUUAGAGUCUCAGUUUUUUCUCAUCUUCUGUUUCACAAAGGUUCUAGCUACUGGAACUGAUCUUACUUUUAUCAGUACAUGUAUCAAUUUUUCUACCUCAUGUAUGAGUGCAUAUUGAAUUUCUUUUUAAAACUGAGGACAAAAUUAACUAUGAAUCUUUGCUGUGAGUGCUUGAUAUUUAACAUUGAAAUAUUGAAUGAAGAAGGAGACAGAUUUAUGGUCAACAUGGGAGAUCAUGAGUUCAGUUUUUGUCUAUUUCCAACUUUAGUUUUCUGUUUUCUCAAUAUUUACAAAGAAUAUAAAGGUGAGAAUAAGAUUGUUUGCAAACCUUCUCUAUUAAAAACUUUAUUAUAUAAAUAAAUAUAAAUAUAUGGUUAUAUUUUAGUGCUUCCCUGAUGUAAGGUGAAUGAAAAUUUCCCCUCUCCCGCUUAGUCUUGUCUUAUAUUAUCUGAUGAUUUUUAAAAUAUUAAAUAGACUGGGUUUAAAUAAAUCGAUGGCAUUUGAUGAAAAAUAUUUGAUAUGGUAAAGUAAUGCUGUCAGAAAGUAAGUAAAUAAGCCAGAUUGUUUUCAUUAUUAUGUUAAAGCUGAUAAUGUACCUGUUCGCAUUAAGCAUCCUAAAUAAAAACCAGUUUUUCUCUGAA
This is a long non-coding RNA of Homo sapiens (human), 3404 nucleotides long. RefSeq lists it as uncharacterized. The record is from RefSeq and is a predicted model, not a curated record. The transcript is spliced from 5 exons. Lineage: Eukaryota; Metazoa; Chordata; Mammalia; Primates; Hominidae.